AUGCAGGGAGGGGACCUGAGACAAGGUGCAGGAAGGUGGGCAGAACGAGACGGCAGAAGAUUCUCGGAGGAAGCACCCAUCUGCUGUGGGCAGGCCUAGCCAAGGUGCUGCUCUCCCCUCAGCUUCACCACUGUCCCCAGGUACUCCAGUGAUACAUCUCCAGAGUUGCUUCCUGUCCUGGCCAGGGCCCAGCCGCCAUGACACACACGCCAGUGGAGGAAUCCCUCUUCCAAAUCAUCUACUGCUACCAUGAGUACGCAGCCCGGGAGGGGGAUGUGGAGACCCUGUCCCUGGAGGAGUUGAAGGCUCUGCUUAUGGAUAACGUACCUGCUUCAUGGAGAGCCUGGGUCGGAAGGAGCCCUGCUACAUCUCGGAGCUGUUCAGGGCUGCAGACAAGAACCGGGACAACCAGAUCUGCUUCGACGAGUUCCUGCUCAUCCGGGGCCGGCUGCUGAGGGACUACCCAGCCGGCACAGCCUGCACCAGAUGGAGAUGCGCGGGCAGCCUCCGGCUUCAGCUAGAUCUGUGUGCCACAGGAGGGGCGGUGCCUUUGUUUCUGACCAGUCAAGCUCUGUAGCUCGGUGUUGCCCCCAGUGCUCCCUGGGCCUGGCCUCCCACUGGCACCCCUUGCACAUUUGCCAAUCUACCAGUGCUGACGCUCAGGACUCAGCUGGGCCCCAGCUGCCUCCCUCUGGACCUUCCUGCAUGCUCCCUGGGGUCUGCACUGCCCUUCGGAGGUGCAUGUCCUGCUGCACCUGUGGAUUGCGCCCCGUAUAUAGGAAUCCGAUUCCCGAGUCUGUGCUGCCUCCUGUGGGCCUCUUAGUCACGACCAGAGGCAUGGAUGGGCAGGGAUUGCCCCAUUCACCUGGUUGGGAAACCAGAAGCUGUGGCAACUCCGGAAGGGAGGAGCUAUCUCUGCAUGGCCCAUGGCCCUGGCAGCUGGCCAAAACCUGGCUUGCUAUAAAAGGGAGCCGACACUGAGCCCUGCAUGUCUUCUGUCAACUCUGUUUCAGGGAGA
Mirounga angustirostris (Northern elephant seal) is the source of this 1018-nucleotide RNA transcript. It is a transcript of the gene named protein S100-A8, with no coding region annotated. The transcript has 4 exons. NCBI's taxonomy places the organism in Eukaryota, Metazoa, Chordata, Mammalia, Carnivora, Phocidae. The record is from RefSeq and is a predicted model, not a curated record.